AGAGAUGGUGUUUCACCAUGUUGGCAAAGCUGAUCUCAAACUCUCCACCUCAGGUGACCCGCCUGCCUCAGUCUACCAAAAUCCUGGGAUUACAGGUGUGAGCCAUGGCGCCCGGCCAGAGCUUAAGUUUAGACAAAAGCAUAAAAAAUAACGUCUAAAAACAGCACACAGUCAGGAUGAACAACAAAUCUGGACCAAUACAAUGGGGAGGACAAAAAGAUGUGAAUAAAUGGACUGACAUUUCAUGUUCCUGGAGAGAACUUAGUAUCCCAUCCCACAUUGUUUCGCGAUUUAACAUUAACAUUUAUACAAAAGUUAUUAAUUAUAACAAAAGUUAUUGAUUAGAAUUAACUUGAUUAGAAAAACCUGGAAAAACAUACCCUAAAGUGCAGCCAGGUGAUCACUCUUCUUGAUCACCUAUGUAGUGUUUCAUAGGGUACUCUGGUGUGAAUACCACUUUCCAAAGCUCUUUCACUUUGCAUUUUUCUUUGUAUCCAGAAUUGAUAAAAUUACCAGGACUAUUUCACAGUAAUCAGACUUAGAAAAUCUUAACACUAACUAGACGCUAAGGCUAUACAUUCUUAUAAUGUCUCAAGUCUAUUGCUGGCCAUCAGGAGCACCUGGAUACGCAGAAUACGUGAAAGUUUGCGAAAAAGGAAUCAAAGCAACAGGAGGAGUCUGGUUUGAACGGUUAUUUCAUCCAAAUAACAUUAAGGACUGCUAACUGGUUUCUGCCCCACAAAACUACCCUUUAUACAUGUCUCCAAACUAUAACGCAGGUCCUCCUGGGGCAACGGUUAGAUAAAUUAACAAAUUCUUAGACUUUGCGCUCCCUUUUCCAAACUCGAAAUCGACCACUCCCCAUUUGUUAACAGAAACUUUUAAUGUAACUGAUUAGAUUUCUAAUCUUUCCUAGGGAGAACCAGUUCAAUUCUAAAAGAGUUGGUCACAUGGGUUGCUAAAUUAAAAUAUAAAGCAUUUCCUAACAGGGAAGGGAGGCUCGUCAAUUGUGGUUAUUUUUAUCAGUAACUUUAAAUAUGGAUUCAUAGAUUAUCAAUUUAUGGCUGGCCUGGGUGUUAGAAGAUGACCUAAUCCCAUCCCCAUUUUCAUGUAAAAAACUGAAACUACAGCUCUGUAAAGUCAAAUGAUUUAAAAUCAUCUGACUAGGCCGAGAAAGGAUUAGAUCUCUAGAGCAUUACGGUAACAAUCUUUCGCAAACUGGUAGCAUUAUCUGGCGACCCUGCUUUUCUGAAAAUCUUGUCAAUUAUUCAGUUCCUUAAAUUCCGUCAGUUACAACAGAUGCAUCAGCUCUUUCCACACUAACUUGAAAGAAGCACAUUAGAAAAUAGUCCUGACUUGUUUCUUGAGAUCAGUAACUAAUGAACUGACCUCCACCAGUCCUGCCUCAGGUCGUUAAUGGUAAAAAUUCUGUAUGUCGGCCGCGUUUUGAGGCCUGCCCAGGGUGCCUGUGAUUCCUACACGUCGGAGCCGCAGGGAUUUUCAGUACAUGCCCUCAGGUGGGCGCCGCAGCCACAGACACUGGUCCCUGGCAUUUGGAAACAGGACAGGUGGUCCGAAGGGCUAAGGGGUUUUUCCUGCAACCUUUAAAUUACAAGCAAGAAAAACGUAGGUUUUAUUUCGGGCACAAGAAUGGAAUGAAUUCGGAAAAGGAAAACUAGAGGCCUGCGGGGGAAGGAGGCACAAGCGCGAGAAGAAAGGGAAAGGCUUUUCUCUCUGGUGACGCGCGAUCACGAGGCGUUUUCUCUACGUGGACGCUCACCAUUGGCGGAGACCGAACUGACGUCCCGGAACUCGUCCGGACGCGAACGGCGCCAAGGCGGUCCUGCCCUGAAAGUCGGCGAGGCGCGCGCGCUCCCGCGGCACGCCGCGCCUCCGCCCUCCGCCCGCCAACCCGCUGGUCCAGUCGUUCUUCGCGCCCGCUUGGCUCCGCCCCCUUCCCAGCUCGCUCCUCCCCCACCAGACUGGCGGCGCGCGGAAAACGCGUCACGUGACGACUGGCCCCGCCUCUUCCUCUCGGUCCCAUAUUGAACUCGAGUUGGAAGAGGCGAGUCCGGUCUCAAAAUGGAGGUAAAACCGCCGCCCGGUCGCCCCCAGCCCGACUCCGGCCGUCGCCGUCGCCGCCGGGGGGAGGAGGGCCAUGAUCCAAAGGAACCAGAGCAGUUGAGAAAACUGUUUAUUGGUGGUCUGAGCUUUGAAACUACAGAUGAUAGUUUAAGAGAACAUUUUGAGAAAUGGGGCACACUCACAGAUUGUGUGGUAAUGAGAGACCCCCAAACAAAACGUUCCAGGGGCUUUGGUUUUGUGACUUAUUCUUGUGUUGAAGAGGUGGAUGCAGCAAUGUGUGCUCGACCACACAAGGUUGAUGGGCGUGUAGUGGAACCAAAGAGAGCUGUUUCUAGAGAGGAUUCUGUAAAGCCUGGUGCCCAUCUAACAGUGAAGAAAAUUUUUGUUGGUGGUAUUAAAGAAGAUACAGAAGAAUAUAAUUUGAGAGACUACUUUGAAAAGUAUGGCAAAAUUGAAACCAUAGAAGUUAUGGAAGACAGGCAGAGUGGAAAAAAGAGAGGAUUUGCUUUUGUAACUUUUGAUGAUCAUGAUACAGUUGAUAAAAUUGUUGUUCAGAAAUACCACACUAUUAAUGGGCAUAAUUGUGAAGUGAAAAAGGCCCUUUCUAAACAAGAGAUGCAGUCUGCUGGAUCACAGAGAGGUCGUGGAGGUGGAUCUGGCAAUUUUAUGGGUCGUGGAGGAAACUUUGGAGGUGGUGGAGGUAAUUUUGGCCGUGGUGGAAACUUUGGUGGAAGAGGAGGCUAUGGUGGUGGAGGUGGUGGUAGCAGAGGUAGUUAUGGAGGAGGUGAUGGUGGAUAUAAUGGAUUUGGAGGUGAUGGUGGCAACUAUGGCGGUGGUCCUGGUUAUAGUAGUAGAGGGGGCUAUGGUGGUGGUGGACCAGGAUAUGGAAACCAAGGUGGUGGAUAUGGUGGCGGUGGUGGAGGAUAUGAUGGUUACAAUGAAGGAGGAAAUUUUGGCGGUAACUAUGGUGGUGGUGGGAACUAUAAUGAUUUUGGAAAUUAUAGUGGACAACAGCAGUCAAAUUAUGGACCUAUGAAAGGGGGCAGUUUUGGUGGAAGAAGCUCGGGCAGUCCCUAUGGUGGUGGUUAUGGAUCUGGUGGUGGAAGUGGUGGAUAUGGUAGCAGAAGGUUCUAAAAACAGCAGAAAAGGGCUACAGUUCUUAGCAGGAGAGAGAGCGAGGAGUUGUCAGGAAAGCUGCAGGUUACUUUGAGACAGUCGUCCCAAAUGCAUUAGAGGAACUGUAAAAAUCUGCCACAGAAGGAACGAUGAUCCAUAGUCAGAAAAGUUACUGCAGCUUAAACAGGAAACCCUUCUUGUUCAGGACUGUCAUAGCCACAGUUUGCAAAAAGUGCAGCUAUUGAUUAAUGCAAUGUAGUGUCAAUUAGAUGUACAUUCCUGAGGUCUUUUAUCUGUUGUAGCUUUGUCUUUUUCUUUUUCUUUUCAUUACAUCAGGUAUAUUGCCCUGUAAAUUGUGGUAGUGGUACCAGGAAUAAAAAAUUAAGGAAUUUUUAACUUUUCAAUAUUUGUGUAGUUCAGUUUUUCUACAUUUUAGUACAGAAACUUUAACAAAAUGCAGUUUUGAAGGUGUUUCCUUGUGAGUUAACAAGUAAAGAAGAUCAUUGUUAAUUACUAUUUUGUAUGAAUUUUGCUAAAGUUAACUGUAAAGAAACACCUGCUGACUUGCAGUAUAAGGGGAAUCUAUAGUCUCCCCAUUUCCAAACCAUGAUAUGAAUGGGCGCUGACAUGUGGAGAGAAUAGAUAAUUUGUGUGUUUGCAAUGUGUGUUUUAGAUAAAUAGGAUUGGGUAUUUAAAUUAGCAUUUGUGAAUUUAAUAGCAUUAAGAUUACCUUCAAAUGAAAAAAAUCUCAAAAUUUCUAUUUGGUUUUUGUGCAUUUUCUUUUAAAAUGUAAUCAUAUGAUUUUAGUGUGUUAGACUUGCUGAGUCCUAGCUGUGUUUAGAACAUCUCCAUACAUUUACCUUGGUCAAAUUUGAACUGCUGCCAUAGGUUUUGGGUGUAAAGAAUGUUUACUGCCCUCCAUUUAAAUUCUGAAAAGGGAUAGUGGAUGUUUUCCGUCUCCUAUGUUAGAAACUAUUCUUAAAAACUUUUCAGAAUAUAGAACCAUUAAGCCUGCUAUAUCUGAGCAAAUUAGUGGGUACCUUUUCUUUUUCUUUUUUUAAAGCACAAGAGGCCCAUAAAUCUUGAGUUAUUUUCCUUAGUUUAAUUUUUUUUUGAUACAAGUUUUCAGAGCAAGAGAAUAAAAAUGAUGCGUUAUUAAACCCCUAACUGGCUGGCAUGCUUUCCUGUUUGUAUUCUAUACAUUUUGCUGGAUGAAACCAAGGAUAGUUUAGGUAUAAUUGUCCAAAAUAACCUAACUGCAGCAGAAAUGUAGCACAGUUGCUUAGUACAGGCUUCUCACUUCCUACAGACCUGAAUUCAAAUUUGAAUAGUCUUGAGUUCAUAAAUGCCCAAAGAACACACUGUUAUUUCUUGUGUAUAUUUCAACGUAAAUCAUGUUGUUACCAAUUGGUUCGGAAGGCCCUGGUUGAGAAGACUUUUAGAUAAUAAGGUCAUAUAUAUAUAUAGUAAUAUAAGCCAAUGUCUACUGUUUUGCGCCAGCUAGUGCUUACAAUUUCAUUUGAGCCCUGAGUAUGUGCCCUGCUGUUACUCUUUCUUUGGUAGUUGAACGUUGAAUUCAAGUCUUUCUUUUUGUUUUAAGAAGUACUAAGCAAACAAGCAAUAAAAAGGGGAAUGGGGCGUGCUAGUGUUUGAAUAUGCUCUCUUGUUGCUCUAAUUCUGUGCCUCUGUGCAUUAAUAUUUGGAUGCAUGCAAUGCCAGCAUGGAAAUUGGUCUUCACACAUACUGCAGUUUUCCAGAAACAUUCACAAAACAAUAAAUGUAACAGACAUUCCAUUUGUUAAUGGGCAUAUAUGUGAAAAGCAGUGUAGAAAAUAGGCUAAUAUUAGAAAAUGGUUAAGUCCUUAAUAACUUCAAGUGUGGUUAUAUAAUGGACACUGUCAAUGUUUAUAACUUAAACCUGGGUACCUGGUCAAAAUAAUGCUUGGGAAACAUUAAAAUUGAGCUAAAUUGUCUCAAGUUCUUUUAUUCAUAUAAAUAAAGUUUAAAGGAAUGGGGGAGAUUAACAUUUCCUGUUUUAUGUUUGUGAAAUUGUUUGACACAACCUUGACAGUAUCCUUUAAUGGCAUGAGGUUAAUUGUACUGUUAACCAACUUUCUAUGUUCUGGAACUAGUAUUAUAGUGAAAACAUUUGCAGUAAGUUGAUGUUUACAACCUAUAAGCAGGUGAAAUCUGUGUAUGUGACCUGUUUAUAAGUUGUAUUAGCUUAGAUCUUGUGAACAGUGUGGAAAAGUAAGCCAUGAGGAGAGCGAUUUAACCAGCUUUAAAGGACCUAAGAUGUGCUUUUUAAGCACAGUGUGGAUCAAAGGAAACUCACUAAGACAGGACUUCAGCAGCCUUUUGUGUUUGGACAAGUCAGCAUAAAUAAAGAAUGACAAGGCAGCAGCAAGAGCUUCAACUACAGAGAAGUGAAGGCAUAAGAUACUAUGAUGAUAGUGAGCAACUUUCCAAAAGCUAGUUAAAUCUGCUUAUUACAACUGAAAUAUCGAAGAAAGUCUAGCAGGAAGGAGCUCUUCGCCUUUUGGAACAUCAAUGAGAGAUAGUUGCCACAGUCACUAGGUCUAGCAUUUAGACCUGCAAGGAAGGGCAAUAAGCAUUAGGUUGAAUGAGAACCCUACUUGCCUAAAUGAGGAAUGUCUUUCCUACCAUCUAAAAUACGAAGGUUUCUGGCUGGGUAAGGUUUGUAGUUGACAGUAAAACCUGAUGACACCAUUUGUUUCCCUGCAAGUCUACAUUACAUAUUUCACAACUUUGUCCCUCUCUAGUAGGCACAUUGAUAAAAUUCUUCGACUGAAAACUACCUGGGUACCAUGUCCAACACAUUUUAAACCUUAGUUUUAAAAAUUCUCCUGCAAAAUAGCCAUAAGUAUUAAUAUCAAGUCAGUUGUGACCCCUCGUGUAUGCAAUUCAUUAUUAGUGUGUUCAGGGUAAACUCAAUUUUUGGUAAGAGAAAGUAGCUUCAGCUUUUGUGAAAACCAUUUUUGUAAUAAGCAUGACACACAACACACUAAGCUGCCAAUCCUCAUACUAGGGAAACACCUUCAGAGGAACAUUAAAAGUUACCAGGGCCAGGCACAAUGGCUCACGCCUGUAAUCCCAGCACUUUGGGAGGCUGAGGCAGAUGGAUCCCGAGUCCAGGAGUUUGAUACUAGCCUGGACAACAUAACGAGACCCUGUCAACAAAAAAUACGAAAAUUAGCUGGGCCUGGUGGUACACAUCUGUAGUCCCAGCUACUUGGGAGGCUGAGGUGGGAGGAUGCCUUGAUCCCAGGUGGUUAAGGCUGCUGUGAGCUGACUGCCCCACUGUAUUCCAGCCUGGGUGAUAGACCCCAUCUCAAGAAAAGUUACCAGAUGUCAUGGAUAAAGGUUGGUCUUCAAGUGGCCUCAUACGUUCUCUUGCAUAUAAAUUCAGGGAAUUCAUUGGACCAAUAGGUUACAUUUUGCUUCCUUUUUUGUUUUGGUUCAUGUUAGGCAGUGGGGGCCUAAUUAGUGCUCCUUUGUAAAAAGACGUUUUGCUGAAGAAUACUGAAUUACUGUUCAGACUGGUUGUUGGGUAAUAAGGGCUGUUUUUGCUGCCCCAAAAGGGCUUAACCAUUUAGGUGGUUAGUUUACUUUAAAAAACAAAAAUCCUUUGGAGACAGAUAGUGAAAAUGCAAACUAGUUUCUAAAUUACCAGUUCCCUACAGGAAGAUGCAGUUUGCCAGUGUUUAGUCUCAGAAAAUGACUGGUUGGCUCUGUAUCUAAAUCAGAACCCAAUUUCUACACGUGUUGAAUAAGGUAACAGCCUUUGAUGAAUUUCCCUCACAACAUGGUUUUAGUGAAGCAGACAAUUUUAUUUUUUAAGGGCAUUGUUCUUUCUAGUUCAUUUCUUUUUAUGAAAUAAAAUUAUUUUGUUUAAACAUAGUUCCAUUGUCGUCUCUGAAAAAUACAGUAUUCUCAUAAGUUGUAGCAGCAGUUAAAAAAAAAAUUGUUAUAUAAGUGGUUGGGGCAGAUUUAACUGAUUUUGUUAGUUAAACCAAUUUGUAGGUUACUGCUUCUAAUAUUACACUGCUAAAAAGCUGAAUUUAUACUCAUGUCCUAAAGGAGAAUAUGUGAUAAUGAAGUACAUUUGUUAAGUAACUAAUUGAAAUAGGCUUGGUUUUAAGAGUUCCGGUAUAUAAUAGUCAGAAGUUGAAACCUAAUUGACAGUAUCUCUUGGAGUUCCAGUAAUGUCACAAAUUAGUGAAUAAGCAUGCCAGUGUGCAAGGGUAAUGUAAGGAUUGUUAGCCUAUCUAAAUAUUCAAAAUUACUUUAAAACUUCAGUAUGUUUUCUGAUUUUUAAGAAUUCAGAAGUGUUCUGUAAUGGAUUCAGAUGUUUCAUUUGUAGUAUAAUGAAAUGUUUACAGAAAGAUAACUUUUUCAUUAAAAUAUUUUUAGAAA
Molecule: RNA transcript, 7638 nt
Organism: Cercocebus atys (sooty mangabey)
Lineage: Eukaryota; Metazoa; Chordata; Mammalia; Primates; Cercopithecidae
Gene: HNRNPA3
Gene name: heterogeneous nuclear ribonucleoprotein A3
Exons: 13
Source: RefSeq, a predicted model, not a curated record